UACGGAGGGUGCAAGCGUUAUCCGGAUUCACUGGGUUUAAAGGGAGCGUAGGUGGCUUUGUAAGUCAGUGGUGAAAUGCCGCAGCUUAACUGCGGAACUGCCAUUGAUACUGCUUAGCUUGAAUCACGUCGAGGUGGAUGGAAUAUUACAUGUAGCGGUGAAAUGCUUAGAUAUGUAAUAGAACACCGAUUGCGAAGGCAGUUCACUAGGCGUGUAUUGACACUGAGGCUCGAAAGCGUGGGGAUCAAACAGG
This 253-nucleotide ribosomal RNA is filed under the name uncultured bacterium. RNAcentral's name for it is "partial 16S ribosomal RNA". It matches the Rfam family "Bacterial small subunit ribosomal RNA", at positions 524 to 776 of the family's 1533-position model. The record is from RNAcentral.